RNAcentral lists this ribosomal RNA (253 nucleotides) under uncultured bacterium. Its description in RNAcentral is "partial 16S ribosomal RNA". It matches the Rfam family "Bacterial small subunit ribosomal RNA", at positions 524 to 776 of the family's 1533-position model. The record is from RNAcentral.
GACAGAGGAUGCAAGCGUUAUCCGGAAUGAUUGGGCGUAAAGGGCUCGUAGGCGGUCCGUCACGUCGGGAGUGAAAUCCUGGGGCUUAACCCCAGAACUGCUUCCGAUACGGGCAGACUAGAGGUAGGUAGGGGAGAAUGGAAUUCCUGGUGUAGCGGUGGAAUGCGCAGAUAUCAGGAGGAACACCAGUGGCGAAGGCGGUUCUCUGGGCCUUACCUGACGCUGAGGAGCGAAAGCGUGGGGAGCAAACAGG